UACGGAGGGUGCAAGCGUUAUCCGGAUUCACUGGGUUUAAAGGGUGCGUAGGCGGGUAGGUAAGUCAGUGGUGAAAUCUUCGAGCUUAACUCGGAAACUGCCUUUGAUACUAUCUAUCUUGAAUAUUGUGGAGGUAAGCGGGAAUAUGUCAUGUAGCGGUGAAAUGCUUAGAUAUGACAUAGAACACCUAUUGCGAAGGCAGCUUACUACGCAUAUAUUGACGCUGAGGCACGAAAAGCGUUGGGGGAUCAAAACAGG
This 258-nucleotide ribosomal RNA is filed under the name uncultured bacterium. RNAcentral's name for it is "partial 16S ribosomal RNA". It matches the Rfam family "Bacterial small subunit ribosomal RNA", at positions 524 to 776 of the family's 1533-position model. The record is from RNAcentral.